Molecule: ribosomal RNA, 158 nt
Filed under: uncultured bacterium
Lineage: Bacteria
Description: partial 16S ribosomal RNA
Rfam family: Bacterial small subunit ribosomal RNA
Source: RNAcentral
GGGGGGCCUACGGGAGGCAGCAGUGGGGAAUAUUGCACAAUGGGCGAAAGCCUGAUGCAGCGACGCCGCGUGAGCGAAGAAGUAUUUCGGUAUGUAAAGCUCUAUCAGCAGGGAAGAUAAUGACGGUACCUGACUAAGAAGCACCGGCUAAAUACGUG